CCUACGGGUGGCAGCAGUGAGGAAUAUUGGUCAAUGGGCGGGAGCCUGAACCAGCCAAGUCGCGUGAGGGAAGACGGUCCUACGGAUUGUAAACCUCUUUUGCCGGGGAGCAACGGGGUCCUUGCGAGGGCCCAAUGAGAGUACCCGGAGAAAAAGCAUCGGCUAACUCCGUGCCAGCAGCCGCGGUAAUACGGAGGAUCCGAGCGUUAUCCGGAUUUAUUGGGUUUAAAGGGUGCGUAGGCGGCCUUUUAAGUCAGCGGUGAAAGUCUGUGGCUCAACCAUAGAAUUGCCGUUGAAACUGGGAGGCUUGAGUAUGUUUGAGGCAGGCGGAAUGCGUGGUGUAGCGGUGAAAUGCUUAGAUAUCACGCAGAACCCCGAUUGCGAAGGCAGCCUGCCAAGCCAUGACUGACGCUGAUGCACGAAAGCGUGGGGAUCAAACAGGAUUAGAUACCCCUGUAGUC
This 461-nucleotide ribosomal RNA is filed under the name uncultured bacterium. RNAcentral's name for it is "partial 16S ribosomal RNA". It matches the Rfam family "Bacterial small subunit ribosomal RNA", at positions 338 to 795 of the family's 1533-position model. The record is from RNAcentral.